GGCGGGACCNAACAGCCAGUCGCGUGAAGGAAGAAGGAUCUAUGGUUCGUAAACUUCUUUUGNNGGGGAAUAAAGUGCAGGACGUGUCCUGUUUUGUAUGUACCCUGAGAAUAAGGAUCGGCUAACUCCGUGCCAGCAGCCGCGGUAAUACGGAGGAUCCGAGCGUUAUCCGGAUUUAUUGGGUUUAAAGGGUGCGUAGGUGGUUUGAUAAGUCAGCGGUGAAAGUUUGCAGCUUAACUGUAAAAAUGCCGUUGAAACUGUCGGACUUGAGUGUAAAUGAGGUAGGCGGAAUGCGUGGUGUAGCGGUGAAAUGCAUAGAUAUCACGCAGAACUCCGAUUGCGAAGGCAGCUUACUAAGCUACAACUGACACUGAAGCACGAAAGCGUGGGGAUCAAACAGGAUUAGAUACCCUGGUAGUCCACGCAGUAAACGAUGAUUACUAGCUGUUUGCGAUACACAGUAAGCGGCACAGCGAAAGCGUUAAGUAAUCCACCUGGGGAGUACGCCGGCAACGGUGAAACUCAAAGGAAUUGACGGGGGCCCGCACAAGCGGAGGAACAUGUGGUUUAAUUCGAUGAUACGCGAGGAACCUUACCCGGGUUUGAACGUAGGGAGACAGGGGUGGAAACAUCCUUUUCAGCAAUGACUGCCUACGAGGUGCUGCAUGGUUGUCGUCAGCUCGUGCCGUGAGGUGUCGGCUUAAGUGCCAUAACGAGCGCAACCCUUAUUUCCAGUUACUAACAGGUGAUGCUGAGGACUCUGGAGAGACUGCCAGCGUAAGCUGUGAGGAAGGUGGGGAUGACGUCAAAUCAGCACGGCCCUUACAUCCGGGGCGACACACGUGUUACAAUGGUAAGGACAAAGGGCAGCUACCGGGCGACCGGAUGCGAAUCUCUAAACCUUAUCUCAGUUCGGAUCGGAGUCUGCAACUCGACUCCGUGAAAGCUGGGAUUC
Molecule: ribosomal RNA, 955 nt
Filed under: uncultured bacterium
Lineage: Bacteria
Description: bacterial SSU rRNA
Rfam family: Bacterial small subunit ribosomal RNA
Source: RNAcentral